Molecule: ribosomal RNA, 253 nt
Filed under: uncultured bacterium
Lineage: Bacteria
Description: partial 16S ribosomal RNA
Rfam family: Bacterial small subunit ribosomal RNA
Source: RNAcentral
UACGUAGGGUGCGAGCGUUAAUCGGAAUUACUGGGCGUAAAGCGUGCGCAGGCGGUUUUGUAAGCCAGAUGUGAAAGCCCCGGGCUCAACCUGGGAAUGGCAUUUGGGACUGCAAGGCUUGAGUGCGGCAGUGGAGACUGGAAUUCCUGGUGUAGCAGUGAAAUGCGUAGAUAUCAGGAGGAAUACCGAUGGCGAAGGCAGGUCUCUGGGCUGACACUGACGCUCAUGCACGAAAGCGUGGGGAGCAAACAGG